GGGGAUCGAAAGACCUUAUGCUUUUGGAGCGGCCGAUGUCUGAUUAGCUAGUUGGUAAGGUAAUGGCUUACCAAGGCAACGAUCAGUAGUUGGUCUGAGAGGACGACCAGCCACACUGGGACUGAGACACGGCCCAGACUCCUACGGGAGGCAGCAGUGGGGAAUUUUGGACAAUGGGCGCAAGCCUGAUCCAGCAAUGCCGCGUGAGUGAAGAAGGCCUUCGGGUUGUAAAGCUCUUUCAGUUGAGAAGAAAAGAUUGUAACUAAUAAUUGCAAUCCAUGACGGUAUCGACAGAAGAAGCACCGGCUAACUACGUGCCAGCAGCCGCGGUAAUACGUAGGGUGCGAGCGUUAAUCGGAAUUACUGGGCGUAAAGAGUGCGCAGGCGGUUCUGUAAGUCAGAUGUGAAAUCCCCGGGCUUAACCUGGGAACUGCGUUUGAA
This 441-nucleotide ribosomal RNA is filed under the name uncultured bacterium. Its description in RNAcentral is "bacterial SSU rRNA". It matches the Rfam family "Bacterial small subunit ribosomal RNA", at positions 195 to 631 of the family's 1533-position model. The record is from RNAcentral.